UUAGUUAUUAAAACUAGUUAAUUACAGGAUUACGGUUGAAAUCUGGGAAUACGGAUUAAGUAUAUAGAAAUUGUAGAAGUUAGUAUAAGUAUCAGACUAUGAUAGUCAUGAGCCGGGGUAAGCUUGGUGCUACCUCUUUGUUUCUUUGUUUUCUUUGUUGUUGAAGAAUAAUGAAUAGUUUCUGAAUACUGAGAAGUGAGUCUGUGGAAUAAAUCAGAGAUUAAUUUAUGAGUUAUUGAUUAUGUAAUUGGAGUACUGAGUGAUUGAAUUAUAUGAGGAGUUAUUGGAAGAUUAUGAUUGUUGUUUUUUUAGAGUUGUGUGUAUUUUGGAUAGAGGAAGUGUGUAAUUACAGAAAUUAUGUGAAUUUAGAUUGUUGGAGUAAAGUCUAUUAUUCCUAGUGUUGGAUGGAAAUUAUUGUAUUUUGAGCGGUACUUUGAGAGUGCAGAGUUGCACACUGUUGUUAACAGUUGAUGAAGGAUUAUUGUUACUAGGAGAAAGCAUUGUAGUAUUUUUUAGUAUUUUAGUAAUUUGGAAUAUACUUAAUUGUGUAAUUCUAACAAGUAAAAUUCAUGCACUUAGUCUUUCCUUGUAUACAAAUUCUCCUAUACAUGUUUAUUCUAAAAAGAAUUGUAGAAUAAGUAAAACGACAAUCACAAGGAUACUCCUAUCUCUUAGUCUUACAAAUUUGGUGAAUAAAGUCUACAAUUGAAUAUGAAAAUUUCAGCAUAUAUCUUAUCAAAGUCAAAAAUAGUAACAAAACAUUCU
RNAcentral lists this long non-coding RNA (765 nucleotides) under Physcomitrium patens. RNAcentral's name for it is "long non-coding RNA (PPAT_LNC001258)". The record is from RNAcentral. Lineage: Eukaryota; Viridiplantae; Streptophyta; Bryopsida; Funariales; Funariaceae.